Long non-coding RNA from Papaver somniferum (opium poppy), 659 nucleotides. RefSeq lists it as uncharacterized. The transcript has 3 exons. NCBI's taxonomy places the organism in Eukaryota, Viridiplantae, Streptophyta, Magnoliopsida, Ranunculales, Papaveraceae. The record is from RefSeq and is a predicted model, not a curated record.
UCUUCAGCUCAUUCUUCUUACUUCUCACCAUUGCGAUCACCACCGCCAAGACCAUCGAAUCCAGGAAUCAGAUUGAAAGCAUAUUCAUGAAUACACUAGUGCUGGACUCCUGGUUUUGGAGGCAAAAUUUAUUGGUUGCCAUUUACAUUAGAGUUCCCAGAGAUCAUUUCUUGCCUCACUGAGGUUCGGCACCAAUCUUUCUUUUGGUUCUCAAUCAGUUCAACAUGAAUGCAUUUCUCAAGCUGUAUUUGGGUAUGGAUGUUAUCUGUCAAGAAAAAUCUGUGAUGGGAAAGAAAACGGGUGUCUUUGUUCUCUGGACAUUGCAGCAAAUUGAGCAUGUUGCUUCAAUUUUGUGUCAUAUGCAAGAAUUGGCUUACCAGAUCUGCCACGAGUUUGAGCGGCCCAGCACAUACCUGCCUGACAUUAAAGUUGCUGUGUUCUAUAGUGGUGUUAAUGACAAGACCCAUAAGCUUCAGUAAGUGCUACGGGUUAUUUGUUGGAGGCGGUGGUGGUGGUAAGUGGUGGUGGUGUGGUUAGUGAUGUAGAUUAUUGGGGUUUUUGGUGGUGACGCCUCUUUUGCUUAGUGUUCCGGGGGAACCGAACCCCUUGGAUCCGGAGAGCUUGUACUAAAUUUUGCAAGAUUUUGACUACUUCUGAUA